This 1347-nucleotide ribosomal RNA is filed under the name Triticum aestivum (bread wheat). RNAcentral describes it as "partial small subunit ribosomal RNA". The record is from RNAcentral. Lineage: Eukaryota; Viridiplantae; Streptophyta; Magnoliopsida; Poales; Poaceae.
AUGGCUGCCGGCGGCGGGGUGCGGUCCAUCAUGAGCGAGGACGGCGACGAGCCGGCGCGUCGCCGCCUGCGAUCUGCCCCUGCCGGCGCGCCACCGAGCGGCGGCGACAUCCUGUGGGAGAUCUUCCUCCGGCUGCCCGCGCUACCCUCCACCCUCCCGCGCGUCUCCCUCGUCUGCAACCGCUGGCGCCGCCUGGCCGCCGACUCCGGCUUCCUCCUCCGCUUCCGCAGCCGCCACCAGAAGGCCCCGCUCCUCGGGCUCUUCAAGGAGUACGGAGGGUGGGUCUCCUUCACCCCCGUCCUCGCCCGCCCCGACCGCGUGCCCCGCCAGCGCCUCUCCAUGCGGAUCGACUACGGCGGCGCCGCCGACUCCUACCCCUACCACGGCACGCUCCUCGGGUGCCGCCACGGGCGCGUCCUCGUCGUCGACCACCGGCGGCGCGAGGCCCUCGUGUGCGACCCCGUCACCGGCGACCAGCGCCGCGGCGCCCUCCCGCCGGAGUUCGGCUCGGGCAACAUGGCCCACGGGGCGGUGCUCUGCGCCGAUGGCGACCCCGGGCACGUGCACGUGGGAUGCCACUCCAGCCCCUUCAAGGUGGUCCUGGUGCAGACCUUCUCCAGAGGGAAUUAUGAUUCCCGAGCCCGCGCCCGUGUCUACUCGUCGGAGACCAGCAUGUGGGGCAACCUGAUCUCGGCGCCGGAACGAUUGGAAGGCGGUUACGUCGAUUUCAGCCGCCCCUCAACCCUCGCCGGCAACUCCCUUUACUGGUGGAUCCAUGGAUCUUAUGACAUGGAGUUACUUGAGUUUGAUAUUGGUAGGCAGAGCCUAGCCGUGAUCCAAAAACUUCCUGUUAGAGAUAUCCAGAAAUCGAAAAGUUUCAUCCACAUCAUCCGGGCAGAGGAUGGCGGUGUUGGCUUCGCCAUGUUGUCGUAUCCAAGCCUCCAAAUGUGGGACCUGAAGGCUGAUGGGGAUGGUGCCGCCACAUGGUUUCCGCGGAAUACCGUGAAUCUCGAGCUCGUCCUGAAUAUGAGGGCUGCCGAAACAGCUAUAGUCGGGUAUGUGGAGGACGACGACGCAAUUCUUAUAAAGUUGAACAACGACGUCUUCAUGGUUCAACUUGAGUCAGUUGAGUCAAGGAAACUUUGUGAAAGCAUUGUGAGGCACCAAUAUCAUCCUUUCACAAGUUUGUAUUCUUCAGGGGAGUUUGGUCGCUGCAGAGGUCUGGAUAGCAUGCCGAGCCCAGCAGAUCCGGCCAUCCCGACGAGCAUAGCAGCUCCACCUGUCAUGAAGGCACCAGAGCAACGGGCUUGGACAUUCCAGCAUGUACCAAGGAAGCGUAGGAGUUGA